UUCCCCCCCAGGGUGGAAAUGUCAAAGACUAGAGGGCAGAACUUGAAGGUGAGAGGGGCAAGGUUUGAAGACGUGUGCAGGGCAAGGUUUAUUCAUACACAGAGCGUGGAGUGUCCCUGGAACACGCUGACAAACCCUUAUCCCACCAUAACGGCUGAUGUUUCAUCUGGUUUAUAAUUUAGUUUAGUUUAUAGCUUAAUUUAGGUUAGUACAGUUUAUAUUUUAGUAUAUUUGCAGAAUGGUAUUUCACAGU
Long non-coding RNA from Amblyraja radiata (thorny skate), 253 nucleotides. RefSeq lists it as uncharacterized. The transcript has 3 exons. NCBI's taxonomy places the organism in Eukaryota, Metazoa, Chordata, Chondrichthyes, Rajiformes, Rajidae. The record is from RefSeq and is a predicted model, not a curated record.